Molecule: ribosomal RNA, 395 nt
Filed under: uncultured bacterium
Lineage: Bacteria
Description: bacterial SSU rRNA
Rfam family: Bacterial small subunit ribosomal RNA
Source: RNAcentral
GUACUUUCAGUCGUGAGGAAGGCGGCGUCGUUAAUAGCGGCGUUGUUUGACGUUAGCGACAGAAGAAGCACCGGCUAACUCCGUGCCAGCAGCCGACGGUAAUACGGGAGGGUGCGAGACGUUAAGUACGGUAAUUACGUGGGACGUAAAGCGCAUGCGAGGUUGGUUUAGUUAAGUCAGAUGUAGAAACGGCCCCGGGGCUACCAACCGUACGGUAAGUUGCUAGUUUAGAAACGUGGCAGACUAGAGUACUGUAGAGGGGGUAGAAUUUCAGGUGUAGCGGUGAAAUGCGUAGAGAUCUGAAGGAAUACCGGUGGCGAAGGCGGCCCCCUGGACAGAUACUGACACUCAGAUGCGAAAGCGUGGGGAGCAAACAGGAUUAGAUACCCUGGUAG